UAUGAUUGGGGUGAAGUCGUAACAAGGUAGCUGUAGGUGAACCUGCAGAAGGAUA
Molecule: ribosomal RNA, 55 nt
Filed under: uncultured eukaryote
Lineage: Eukaryota
Description: partial small subunit ribosomal RNA
Source: RNAcentral